RNAcentral lists this ribosomal RNA (398 nucleotides) under uncultured bacterium. Its description in RNAcentral is "partial 16S ribosomal RNA". It matches the Rfam family "Bacterial small subunit ribosomal RNA", at positions 523 to 918 of the family's 1533-position model. The record is from RNAcentral.
AUACGUAGGGUGCGAGCGUUGUCCGGAAUUACUGGGCGUAAAGAGCUCGUAGGUGGUUUGUCGCGUCGUCUGUGAAAUUCCGGGGCUUAACUCCGGGCGUGCAGGCGAUACGGGCAUAACUUGAGUACUGUAGGGGAGACUGGAAUUCCUGGUGUAGCGGUGAAAUGCGCAGAUAUCAGGAGGAACACCGGUGGCGAAGGGGGGUCUCUGGGCAGUAACUGACGCUGAGGAGCGAAAGCAUGGGUAGCGAACAGGAUUAGAUACCCUGGUAGUACAUGCCGUAAACGGUGGGCGCUAGGUGUAGGGGUCUUCCACGACUUCUGUGCCGUAGCUAACGCAUUAAGCGCCCCGCCUGGGGAGUACGGCCGCAAGGCUAAAACUCAAAGGAAUUGACGGGG